Long non-coding RNA from Magnolia sinica, 198 nucleotides. RefSeq lists it as uncharacterized. NCBI's taxonomy places the organism in Eukaryota, Viridiplantae, Streptophyta, Magnoliopsida, Magnoliales, Magnoliaceae. The transcript is spliced from 2 exons. The record is from RefSeq and is a predicted model, not a curated record.
AACAGGUCGACUCAAGUACAAGUGCACUUUUUCUUCUUUUUCUUUUUUCUUUCUUUUUUUUUUUUCAAUCAAAAUUACAAUUUGGAUAGUCUUCCAAGUUGAACAUCUGCUCAGGUUGAGUCCAACUCAGUUCUGGCAUUGAGGUUGUUGGUUUUUGGUACAGAGUCUGUUUAUUGUAUAAAAAAGCAAGGAAUUCCU